GAUGAAGAACGUAGCGAAAUGCGAUAAGUAGUGUGAAUUGCAGAAUUCAGUGAAUCAUCGAAUCUUUGAACGCACAUUGCUUCCCUUGGUAUCCCGAGGGGCAUGCCUGUUCGAGCGUCAUUUCACCACUCAAGCCUGGCUUGGUGUUGGGCGACGUCCCCUUUGGGGACGCGCCUCGAAACGCUCGGCGGCGUGGCACCGGCUUUAAGCGUAGCAGAAUCUUUCGCUUUGGAAGUCGGGGCCCCGUCUGCCGGAAGACCUACUCGCAAGGUUGACCUCGGAUCAGGCAGGGAUACCCGCUGAACUUAAGCAUAUCAAUAAGCGGAGGA
Molecule: unclassified non-coding RNA, 329 nt
Filed under: soil metagenome
Description: partial contains 5.8S ribosomal RNA, internal transcribed spacer 2, and large subunit ribosomal RNA
Rfam family: 5.8S ribosomal RNA (bases 1-120)
Source: RNAcentral